ACGUAGGAGGCGAGCGUUAUCCGGAUUCACUGGGCGUAAAGCGCGUGCAGGCGGUUCGGUAAGUUGGGCGUGAAAUCUCCCGGCUCAACUGGGAGAGGUCGUUCAAUACUACCGGACUUGAGAGCGAUAGAGGAAAAUGGAAUUCCCGGUGUAGUGGUGAAAUGCGUAGAUAUCGGGAGGAACACCAGUGGCGAAAGCGGCAUCCUGGCCCUGUCCUGACGCUAAGACGCGACAGCACGGGGAGCGAACGG
RNAcentral lists this ribosomal RNA (251 nucleotides) under uncultured prokaryote. RNAcentral's name for it is "partial 16S ribosomal RNA". It matches the Rfam family "Bacterial small subunit ribosomal RNA", at positions 525 to 775 of the family's 1533-position model. The record is from RNAcentral.